CUGACCGUCGUCCUGGCUGCGGCUUCCGCCGCUCCCCAGCAGCAGCAGCCGCCCGUCGCCAUCAUCCUGGACGACCGAUCUGCGCCCGAGAACGGCGCCUACUCCUUCCAGUUCCAGGCAGAGAACGGCAUCAGGCAGAGCGAGGCUGGGACGCCAGGGUCAGAGGGACAGUCUAACGUUCAGGGAGUGUUCAGCUUUCCACUAGACGACGGAAGUGUUGCCGAAGUCCGGUACCAAGCUGACGAGAACGGCUUCCAGGUCCAGUCCCCUUUGCUGCCCGUCGCCCCCGAGUUCCCUCACCCCAUCCCGCAGUUCGUCCUCGACCAGAUCGCCUUCGCCGAGGAGCAGGAUCGCCUCGAAGCUCAACGUCAACUUUUACAAUGAAGCGAGAGAAUACAAAGUUUUUGACAUUUUUGUAAAUACAUUAAAGGCGGUUACUGUAAUAAGGGUGAGUCAGCUAUUCUAUAUAAAAUAAUCGAUAUACAAA
Molecule: long non-coding RNA, 487 nt
Organism: Penaeus chinensis
Lineage: Eukaryota; Metazoa; Arthropoda; Malacostraca; Decapoda; Penaeidae
Exons: 2
Source: RefSeq, a predicted model, not a curated record